Molecule: ribosomal RNA, 440 nt
Filed under: uncultured bacterium
Lineage: Bacteria
Description: partial 16S ribosomal RNA
Rfam family: Bacterial small subunit ribosomal RNA
Source: RNAcentral
CCUACGGGCGGCUGCAGUAGGGAAUAUUGCUCAAUGGGGGAAACCCUGAAGCAGCAACGCCGCGUGGAGGAAGAAGGUUUUCGGAUUGUAAACUCCUUUUGUUAGGGAAGAUAAUGACGGUAUCUAACGAAUAAGCACCGGCUAACUCCGUGCCAGCAGCCGCGGUAAUACGGAGGGUGCAAGCGUUACUCGGAAUCACUGGGCGUAAAGAGCGCGUAGGCGGGAUAGCAAGUCAGAUGUGAAAUACUAUGGCUUAACCAUAGAACUGCAUUUGAAACUGUUAUUCUAGAGUAUGGGAGAGGUAGGUGGAAUUCUUGGUGUAGCGGUAAAAUGCGUAGAGAUCAAGAGGAAUACUCAUUGCGAAGGCGACCUGCUAGAACAUAACUGACGCUGAUGCGCGAAAGCGUGGGGAGCAAACAGGAUUAGAUACCCUUGUAGUC